UCUGUAGCUCAGCCGGAUAGAGCAACGGCCUUCUAAGCCGUGGGUCGGGGGUUCGAAUCCCUUCAGG
This 67-nucleotide transfer RNA is filed under the name bovine gut metagenome. It matches the Rfam family "tRNA", at positions 5 to 66 of the family's 71-position model. Rfam says of the family: Transfer RNA (tRNA) molecules are approximately 80 nucleotides in length. Their secondary structure includes four short double-helical elements and three loops (D, anti-codon, and T loops). Further hydrogen bonds mediate the characteristic L-shaped molecular structure. tRNAs have two regions of fundamental functional importance: the anti-codon, which is responsible for specific mRNA codon recognition, and the 3' end, to which the tRNAs corresponding amino acid is attached (by aminoacyl-tRNA synthetases). tRNAs cope with the degeneracy of the genetic code in two manners: having more than one tRNA (with a specific anti-codon) for a particular amino acid; and 'wobble' base-pairing, i.e. permitting non-standard base-pairing at the 3rd anti-codon position. The record is from RNAcentral.